GAUGAACGCUGGCGGCGUGCCUAAUACAUGCAAGUCGAGCGAACAGAUGAGGAGCUUGCUCCUCUGACGUUAGCGGCGGACGGGUGAGUAACACGUGGAUAACCUACCUAUAAGACUGGGAUAACUUCGGGAAACCGGAGCUAAUACCGGAUAAUAUAUUGAACCGCAUGGUUCAAUAGUGAAAGACGGUUUUGCUGUCACUUAUAGAUGGAUCCGCGCCGCAUUAGCUAGUUGGUAAGGUAACGGCUUACCAAGGCAACGAUGCGUAGCCGACCUGAGAGGGUGAUCGGCCACACUGGAACUGAGACACGGUCCAGACUCCUACGGGAGGCAGCAGUAGGGAAUCUUCCGCAAUGGGCGAAAGCCUGACGGAGCAACGCCGCGUGAGUGAUGAAGGUCUUCGGAUCGUAAAACUCUGUUAUUAGGGAAGAACAAAUGUGUAAGUAACUAUGCACGUCUUGACGGUACCUAAUCAGAAAGCCACGGCUAACACGUG
RNAcentral lists this ribosomal RNA (496 nucleotides) under uncultured bacterium. RNAcentral describes it as "partial 16S ribosomal RNA". It matches the Rfam family "Bacterial small subunit ribosomal RNA", at positions 28 to 507 of the family's 1533-position model. The record is from RNAcentral.